Molecule: ribosomal RNA, 699 nt
Filed under: uncultured Alphaproteobacteria bacterium
Lineage: Bacteria; Pseudomonadati; Pseudomonadota; Alphaproteobacteria
Description: bacterial SSU rRNA
Rfam family: Bacterial small subunit ribosomal RNA
Source: RNAcentral
GAGUUUGAUCAUGGCUCAGAACGAACGCUGGCGGCAGGCCUAACACAUGCAAGUCGAACGAGAAGCCACCUUCGGGUGGUGGACAGUGGCAGACGGGUGAGUAACGCGUGGGAACGUGCCUUUCGGUUCGGAAUAACCCAGGGAAACUUGGGCUAAUACCGGAUACGCCCUUCGGGGGAAAGAUUCAUUGCCGAAAGAUCGGCCCGCGUCGGAUUAGCUAGUUGGUGGGGUAAUGGCCUACCAAGGCGACGAUCCGUAGCUGGUCUGAGAGGAUGACCAGCCACACUGGGACUGAGACACGGCCCAGACUCCUACGGGAGGCAGCAGUGGGGAAUAUUGGACAAUGGGCGCAAGCCUGAUCCAGCCAUGCCGCGUGGGUGAAGAAGGCCUUAGGGUUGUAAACCCCUUUCAGCGGGGAAGAUAAUGACGGUACCCGCAGAAGAAGUCCCGGCUAACUCCGUGCCAGCAGCCGCGGUAAUACGGAGGGGACUAGCGUUGUUCGGAAUUACUGGGCGUAAAGCGCACGUAGGCGGAUUUGUAAGUCAGGGGUGAAAUCCCGGGGCUCAACCUCGGAACUGCCUUUGAUACUGCAAAUCUCGAGUCCGGAAGAGGUGAGUGGAAUUCCUAGUGUAGAGGUGAAAUUCGUAGAUAUUAGGAAGAACACCAGUGGCGAAGGCGGCUCACUGGUCCGGUACUGAC